UACGGGGGGGGCAAGCGUUGUUCGGAAUUACUGGGCGUAAAGGGCUCGUAGGCGGCCAACUAAGUCGGAUGUGAAAUCCCCAGGCUUAACCUGGGAACUGCAUCCGAUACUGGAUGGCUUGAAUCCGGGAGAGGGAUGCAGAAUUCCAGGUGUAGCGGUGAAAUGCGUAGAUAUCAGGAGGAACACCGAUGGCGAAGGCAGCUCGCUGGGACGGUACUGACGCUGAGGCGCGAAAGCGUGGGGAGCGAACAGG
RNAcentral lists this ribosomal RNA (253 nucleotides) under uncultured bacterium. RNAcentral's name for it is "partial 16S ribosomal RNA". It matches the Rfam family "Bacterial small subunit ribosomal RNA", at positions 524 to 776 of the family's 1533-position model. The record is from RNAcentral.